Long non-coding RNA from Peromyscus californicus insignis, 2271 nucleotides. RefSeq lists it as uncharacterized. NCBI's taxonomy places the organism in Eukaryota, Metazoa, Chordata, Mammalia, Rodentia, Cricetidae. The record is from RefSeq and is a predicted model, not a curated record. The transcript is spliced from 2 exons.
AAUAAAAAAGGAAUGUUCCCAACGUCUUUUAAAAGAGCCAAGUGGGUAAAAAUCCAUAAUUGCAAGUAUUCUCGAUUUUGAUACUCCCAAAGUCAAAAACUAGGAAAAAUAUCAGUCAAUUCUAAGUACUAUUAUUCAGAAAACAACUCUUAAAAUUUUUAGUUAAGGAGCUGGAGAGAAGGUUCAGUGGUUAAGAGCACUGACUACUCUUGCCAAGGAACAGGGUUCAGUUCCCAGUGCCCACAUCUCUACCAUUCAAUACCAGGGGAUCUGAUGCCCUCUUCUGGCCUUCACGGGCACUGCCCUAGUGUAAUCCACAGAUGUUCAAGCAGGCAACACACACACACACCUUUAAACAACAAAACUAUAGUUAAAGUAGCUGAGAAACUAGGGUCUAUCACCAAGAUGUAGUUUACAAGGGCUAAUCUUACAAACUACAGAUUUAAGAACAAUCUAUGUUCACACUAAACAUCUUCCAAAAUUAGUGCCACAAAUACACGUGUAUUUUUUUUUAAAUAUUAAGUGCUUAAAUUUGUAUGCCAUCCUCCUGUAGGGCCAUGCUAAUCUCAGUAUUAUGUGCUGCCCAAGUGAGCUCGACACACAUUUUAAGAUGUCAUCUACUUGUUCUUUGCUAGGUGUUAAUCUAUAAUGUAAUUUGAUGUAGUGUACAUUAGACAUACUAACUACAACCUUUAUUGUACAUUCCUUAUCAUUAGGACUGUGUUGAAAAGCAACUUUAGGCAACGAAGAUCUCAUGCUUUAAAAUUAAGGGCACAACACUUCACGUGCGUUACUCGACACUGUUCAGUACGAUACUCUCUGAACUAUUUCAGCGCAGUCCCCAAAGCUCAUUUUAGAUAGUACUAGUUUCUUUCAUUACGUUACUAAAAAUUUAUUACAAGAUGUUACUUCCCGACCUCAAAGUUUUACAGUGAGUUUUUUGUUUUGUUUUUGAGACAGGGUAGCCCUAGCUGUCCUGGAGCUUGCUCUACAGACCAGGCUGGCCUCGAAUUCAGAGAUCCGCCUGCCUCUGCUUCCCGGUUCACAGUGAGUUUUUAAUCUCCUAAAUUUUAAAAGCAGACUUACAAUUUUUCUUUUUCCACUUUCACUCAGUGGCUUCGAAAGUAGGCAAAAGUUUAAAGAUGCACUUAUAACAUCUGACCCAGGACUAAUUUGCAUUUGUAACGGAAAUUUGCAUUUGUAGCAGAGAAAGUAGCUGGGCCUCACCAUCUCAGGCCAGGUUUGAGCAGCCACCGUAAGCCCCAGAACUCCGGUUGGCCAACUAAGUCCCUGCAGCGGCUGCCAGCCGCGUCUCCCUCGCCCGGGCCCGUCCUCCUGAUUGUGGCCGCGCACGCGCGCUGCCGGCAGGGACCGGCGCGGGUCCCUGGCAAAGGACCGGGUAGUGAGAGCGGGAGGCGGCCCGAACGUCCCCCGCCGAGCGGGAGGCCGCCCGGAACUUUCCUUCACGCCCAAACUUGACCAGAUAAAAAGGGCCCGGACAGGAACCGGGGAGGGCGCCCCGGUCCGCGACCCCCGCACGGCCAGCGGGAGCUGCGGGCAGGGACGGCGGGACCACAGCCGCGCGCCCGGCCGGCCGGCCGGCUCACCGUGUCGGAGUCGGUGUUGAGAUGCUGGAAGGGUACAAUAGAAGUUGCCAAGCCCAGGGAUCCUCCUGGAGAAAUUCCAUUUUAGAAGUAGCUUUGACUCAGUUUUGAAGAUAAAGGAUGGCUUUGGACCUGGUUGGACGUGUGAGCAGCACCAUCUGUCCAGAACUACCCAUGAAGCACAGACUGAGAAAUGACUCAGUUCUGGGAACUGGAAUCUACUCCAAACUCCAAAUGCAUCAAGAGGAAUUACUGAAGUGAGUAGGAAAAGAGUGAACAUUGACUUGAAUGAGUUACCUACAUCCAGGAUGUAAUUCACAAGCAUAGUAAAUGCUUUGGAACACUUAGCAGGUGAAGCAUCAUGCUUAGAGGCAUGAUUAAUCCCAAAGAUGGGAGGAGAAAGACCACUGACCCAAAGCAUCAUGGCCAAGUUAAUUAAGUCAAGUAUUUAAUUAAAGCAAGCUUGUUAAUAUUCUGACCCACACCUGGCACCACCCUGUCGUAAAAGCCUUAUUUUAAGGAAAAACUCCUCCCCUUCCUCUCUCUUCGACUUUUCCUCCUACGAGGUGUGCACUGUCUACCCCCUCUCUUUCUCUCUCUUUUCUCCAUCUUUCUUUCCUAUCUUUCUCUUCAUCUCUCUAUUAUAAUAAACCAUUUCCAAGGCCGA